Molecule: long non-coding RNA, 1306 nt
Filed under: Anas platyrhynchos platyrhynchos (common mallard)
Lineage: Eukaryota; Metazoa; Chordata; Aves; Anseriformes; Anatidae
Description: lncRNA (ENSAPLG00000030782.1)
Source: RNAcentral
GACAAAUUCAACAAAAUGUAGAAGGCAAGGACCAUAGGUUUUAGAACUAGGAAAUUAGGAAAUUAAUUUUAGUUAUACACUAAAAGGAGUGUAUAACACAGAGAUAAGUGCCUGAGCUCCUUAGACAAAUUUGGAAAGUUGCAUCAUAUUCUCAAUUGCAAAUAUCCUCUUAGUGACCUCUGAUCAUGCUGACACAUUCACAAUAAUAGAGUACAACAAUUCUGAGGUAUGGUCUUCGGCUCCUGAAGAAAUAGAUCUGUACUUGUGAGGAGAGAUGCCUAACAGAUUUAAUUUAUUCUCAGGAAUUAGAUGAAAGACAGAUGUAAUUAUAUGAAAGACAACAUGGGGAUGCCAUGGCUUUCCUGUUUCUAGAUCUAGAAACAGAAAGGUGCAAACUUGGAGACAAUUUGCCUUAUAUCAGUAUAUGUUGAAGCUGGAUACUAAACCAAGAUUUGCAUAGAACUAGCCAACUAGAAAAGCUUAAGUGUGAGAAAUAAACCCUGUUCUUCUCCAGAGUUAGAGGUUUGAUCUGUAGCUUCCUUUUCAGUAUAAGGGUAACUGGCACCCUUAUGUAAAACAAUAGACUUUGAAACAAAUACCGAAAUACUGCAACUAGGGCUGCCUUUUCUUUUGUGGUAGUGUUCUAAGUAGAACACUUGGGAAGUUUUAAGACUUCAGAAACCUUCAUUUCAGUUUGCUGAUUUGCAGGAUGGAUUCAACUCUGAGUGCUGUACUGAGUCAGCAUGUUACCAGCCUUUCAAAUGGAGAUUUGAAAUGUGCAUUAAAUUCUCUGCAAAUUCCUGAGGAUUCUGGAUUAUGUAAUGAAUACAUGAGCACAGCAGUUUCAUAGUUCAUCAUUGAACAUUCUGCCUGUGGCCCAGCUGGUAGCACCCAGGAAGCUGGAUUUUGCAUGGCAAGGCCAGAGCACUGAAAUACAGAAGUAUAUAACAACAUGUUAGAAAUGUGAGGUAUAACAUGGCAGAAAUACAGUGUGAGUCAAGCAAUAAUGUAUGUUUUCCCAUCUAUUUAUGAUAUGAUCAUAUGUAUCAGCAAUUUGCCUCUCUUGUAGUAUUUUACAGGCUGCCUGGAUUCUAGAAGAUAUCUGAAAGUUUUCUUACAUUUCUUAUUUUCACUUUCACUUCUCUGGCUUAUAUAAAAAAAGGCCUUUUAAAAUGUAUUUGUGGGUACGCAACCUUCUAUUUCAAACACAGAUGGUACAUCUGCAUUUAUUAUUUAGACAUGUUAAGUGGAACCUAUUGUAACUAUAAUUUGUUCUUUCUGACUUAUUAAAUUUGGAUAUGAUACA